Molecule: long non-coding RNA, 764 nt
Organism: Aquila chrysaetos chrysaetos
Lineage: Eukaryota; Metazoa; Chordata; Aves; Accipitriformes; Accipitridae
Exons: 2
Source: RefSeq, a predicted model, not a curated record
UCCUCGGAGGAGCCUCCACUGCCAGCCGCUCACCGCGGGAGCAGACAAUGACCUCCUGAAGCCGCGGACCAAACAGUAUGUUUCACAAAUGGAGCCUGUAAAAGUACGGGCCGGGGCAGCUGGUAAAUCGCGCAGAGACGUCUGGUGUGCAGCGUAGUCCCCGUAUGGGAGGAGGGUACCCUGUAUGGGGGGAUUUGCUGACCAAUAGAGCUGCCGCCAGCGAUCUUGGGGGUAGAUUGAGCAAAUCUGGGGUGACCGCUGCAUCCCAGUAUCGGGAGCCAGGACGGACCUGUCGAUGACUGGUAUAUAAGAGGCAGGAGAAGGGUAAGCGGACCCCCUCGCAAUUGUGCUUGGUACAUUUUUGCAGCUGCUGAAAGGUUGUCAACUGGAACGAUGAUUGUAUGAUGAGAAUGUUUGGAAACUUAAUGUUAAAGAUUUUGUGUGAGUAUGUGGAAAUGUUAUGUUGAGAUUAAUAUGUGUAUAUAUGCUCGUUAAUGUGUAAAUGUCUAAGACUGUGGAUUGAAUGUUUGAGUAAAAGAGACACAGCUCAGCUGCGGAGCGUGUGUGGAGUUCUGAUCCACAGUUUCGUAACUCCACAAGGGGUACGGCCGGAGACGAACGAAGUGUGACUCAUUGAUGAUUUGGAACUUGAAUUUAUAUGUUAGCGUUGUAAUUUUAAGUUUGAGUCUGAUUAUCUUAAUCAUUUUGUGGUGUUGGUAUAAGAAAGUCCCUGUAUGGUGCAUUGCAUAAAUGUGGGUAUUUGA